UACAUAGGGUGCGAGCGUUAAUCGGAAUUACUGGGCGUAAAGCGUGCGCAGGCGGCGCGUUAAGACAGGUGUGAAAGCCCCGAGCUUAACUUGGGAAUUGCGCUUGUGACUGGCGAGCUGGAGUGUGGCAGAGGGAGGUGGAAUUCCACGUGUAGCAGUGAAAUGCGUAGAGAUGUGGAGGAACACCGAUGGCGAAGGCAGCCUCCUGGGCCAGCACUGACGCUCAUGCACGAAAGCGUGGGGAGCAAACAGG
RNAcentral lists this ribosomal RNA (253 nucleotides) under uncultured bacterium. Its description in RNAcentral is "partial 16S ribosomal RNA". It matches the Rfam family "Bacterial small subunit ribosomal RNA", at positions 524 to 776 of the family's 1533-position model. The record is from RNAcentral.